AAAAUCGAAAAUGCACAACAAAACAAAUGAGGAACGAAUGGGAGGAAAGUGUAACCAACGCCUGUGACCGAAAUGUAAGAAACCUCCUAAAGGAAAUGGGAUUUACAUACAGAAAAGCUAAACGAAAGCCAUCAUUAACACCUAAACAG
This is a long non-coding RNA of Thalassophryne amazonica, 149 nucleotides long. RefSeq lists it as uncharacterized. Lineage: Eukaryota; Metazoa; Chordata; Actinopteri; Batrachoidiformes; Batrachoididae. The transcript is spliced from 3 exons. The record is from RefSeq and is a predicted model, not a curated record.